RNAcentral lists this long non-coding RNA (299 nucleotides) under Mytilus galloprovincialis (Mediterranean mussel). Lineage: Eukaryota; Metazoa; Mollusca; Bivalvia; Mytilida; Mytilidae. The record is from RNAcentral.
CGGCGUCUCAAAAGUUACGAUAAAAUGGUCAAAAUACUCUUAUAAUAGUUUACCAAAAAACUUCUAUUAAAUACACAUAUUCUUUGACUCAUAUAUAACAAACAUACCGUAUUGGUUGACCAUGGUAUUCUAAUAUAGCUUCAAAAACGUUUAACUUCAAAAUUAGCUUCAUCACAUUCCAUUCACAAAAAAUAAGUACUCUCUCGAUUAGGGGACCGAAACAUGCUAAAAAUGCUUGUUUACAAUAAAGUGUUGAUUUCAAAUAAAAAUAAGUUAACCAACCAACUUUGGUCUUAACA